CGCUGGCGGCGUGCCUAAUACAUGCAAGUCGAACGGUCUUUCUAUGGAAGCUUGCUUCCACUGAGAAGAUAGUGGCGAACGGGUGAGUAACACGUGGGUAACCUGCCCAUAAGAGGGGGGAUAACAUCCGGAAACGGGUGCUAAUACCGCAUAGUUUUCUUGAUCGCAUGAUCGGGAAAGGAAAGACGGCCUUUGUGCUGUCGCUUAUGGAUGGACCCGCGGCGUAUUAGUUAGUUGGUGAGGUAACGGCUCACCAAGACGAUGAUACGUAGCCGACCUGAGAGGGCGAUCGGCCACAUUGGGACUGAGACACGGCCCAAACUCCUACGGGAGGCAGCAGUAGGGAAUCUUCCGCAAUGGACGAAAGUCUGACGGAGCAACGCCGCGUGAGUGAAGAAAAGGGUUUUCGGAUCGUAAAACUCUGUUGUCAGAGAAGAACAAGUUGGAGAGUAACUGCUCCAGCCUUGACGGUAUCUGACCAGAAAGCCACGGCUAACUACGUGCCAGCCGCCGC
Molecule: ribosomal RNA, 514 nt
Filed under: uncultured bacterium
Lineage: Bacteria
Description: bacterial SSU rRNA
Rfam family: Bacterial small subunit ribosomal RNA
Source: RNAcentral